CAUUCACGGAGAGUUUGAUCCUGGCUCAGGACGAACGCUGGCGGCGUGCUUAACACAUGCAAGUCGAACGGUGAAGCCCUUCGGGGUGGAUCAGUGGCGAACGGGUGAGUAACACGUGGGCAAUCUGCCCUGCACUCUGGGAGGCGCCUUGGACACGAGGUCUCAUACCGGGUCUUACCCUUGAGCGCAUGGUCU
Molecule: ribosomal RNA, 195 nt
Filed under: Streptacidiphilus pinicola
Lineage: Bacteria; Bacillati; Actinomycetota; Actinomycetes; Kitasatosporales; Streptomycetaceae
Description: partial 16S ribosomal RNA
Rfam family: Bacterial small subunit ribosomal RNA
Source: RNAcentral